CUGGCGGUGAGCUGUUACAAGACUACUACCAGGGAGACAACACUCAGGUUUACCAACAAUAACUAUUACAUCUAACACCGGUGAUAGGUGUUAGUUUCAGCAGGUGUUAGACUGAGCAGGUGUUAAGAUCAGCAGGUGUUAGACUCAUCAGAUGUUAAGAUCAGCAGGUGUUAAACUGAACAGGUGUAAGAUUCAGCAGGUGUAACACUCAUCAGGUGUUAAUUAAGAUCAUUAAACACCAAGGCAACAUGAUGUAUUAAAGAUAUUCAGUCAUAAGUAAUGUACAGUGACGAAUGUUUACUCACCAGGUCACGAAGGAGCCAAAUGUUUAUAAUGUUCAUAUCAUUAAGUCACCAAGAGUGUUUACGAGUCACCAAUGUGCUGGUGCUACACUUACUGCCCUGUGUAGCACCAAUCAGGACACCCAAAGCUUAUACCAUAACACUCAAGCACCACCGAUAUGUUAUCUUGGUGUGUGUGUGUGUGUGUGUGUGUGUGUGUGUGUGUGUGUGUGUGUGUGUGUGCGGAAGCUUCAGUCACAAACUGCUUUCGCGGGAGAAGUGUAGAGUUCCCAACUUCCCUCGUCUGGCCGUCAAUAUUGGGGGUUCUGGCUGAUGGACGGCGACCCUUCAGGUGAUGGGCGGUCUGUGUGAUAGUUGGUGUCCUCAGUAAGUAUGGUGUUACAAGCAGAGAUAACGACCCGCCUUACUGCUACCAUAUCACGUGUGUGUGUGUGUGUGUGUGUGUGUGUGGCUCAGGUCUCUCACAACCUGAACCUGUCUCGCAGUCUGUUGUUUCCUGAUACUGUGAUCUGUGGCACUGUGACCUGUGGCACUGUGACCUGUGGCCCUGUGACCUGUGGUACUGUGACCUGUGACCUGUGGCAGUGACCUGUGGCCCUGUGACCUGUGGCACUGUGACCUCUGGCACUGUGACCUGUGGCCCUGUGACCUGUGGUACUGUGACCCAGAAGUGUGUGUGUGUGUGUGACCCGGGUUACCAGGCAGCGUGUUAUAGCUCGGCUCUGUGUCCUGUCACGUUAGGUACAGUAGUGUAAAGAGUAUCUGUACAUAGAUAAACAUCACUUCUAAGUCUCUUCUAUGUUCUUGUUCAUAAGCAUCAAUUAUAUGAAGUAAAACUA
Long non-coding RNA from Homarus americanus (American lobster), 1141 nucleotides. RefSeq lists it as uncharacterized. The transcript has 2 exons. Lineage: Eukaryota; Metazoa; Arthropoda; Malacostraca; Decapoda; Nephropidae. The record is from RefSeq and is a predicted model, not a curated record.